This 482-nucleotide ribosomal RNA is filed under the name uncultured bacterium. Its description in RNAcentral is "partial 16S ribosomal RNA". It matches the Rfam family "Bacterial small subunit ribosomal RNA", at positions 30 to 507 of the family's 1533-position model. The record is from RNAcentral.
AUUGAACGCUGGCGGCAUGCCUUACACAUGCAAGUCGAACGGUAACAGGUCUUCGGAUGCUGCCGAGUGGCGUACGGGUGCGUAAUACAUCGGAACGUGCCCAGACGCUGGGGAUAACGAGUCGAAAGCUUUGCUAAUACCGCAUACGAUCUAAGGAUGAAAGCAGGGGACCGCAAGGCCUUGCGCGUUUGGAGCGGCCGAUGGCAGAUUAGGUAGUUGGUGGGAUAAAAGCUUACCAAGCCGACGAUCUGUAGCUGGUCUGAGAGGACGACCAGCCACACUGGGACUGAGACACGGCCCAGACUCCUACGGGAGGAAGCAGUGGGGAAUUUUGGACAAUGGGCGAAAGCCUGAUCCAGCAAUGCCGCGUGCAGGAUGAAGGCCUUAGGGUUGUAAACUGCUUUUGUACGGAACGAAAAGGCUCUGGCUAAUACCUGGGGCACAUGACGGUACCGGAAGAAUAAGCACCGGCUAACUCCGUG